Molecule: long non-coding RNA, 1603 nt
Filed under: Marmota monax (woodchuck)
Lineage: Eukaryota; Metazoa; Chordata; Mammalia; Rodentia; Sciuridae
Source: RNAcentral
GGACAUCACUUUCCUGUGUUCACAUAUGAAUGCACAACAAGUGUAACUCCAAAUUAUGUUCAAAGAAUGGGAAGAUCUACAUCAUGUAUAUAGGCUAUUCCAAAAUACACUCUACUGUUAUGCAUAUCUAAAAAGAACAAAUUAAAAGAAAAAGAAACUGUCCCUACUUAUAACCAGCUUUAAAAAAAAAGCUUAUUGAAUAUGGCUAUUGGGGAAGAACAGAAUACGUACAACUGUGCAGUUUGUGUCUGAAGCUAAGUGUUGUUAAAAAAUAAGUCAAAAAUUUAAAGUUAAAAAGCAAAAUGGUUACGGCAGCUAACAUUAAUUUGGAUGACUUUCCCAUAGACUGUGGACAGUGUUGACAGUCUGCCCCUGUCCUGGGCCUUCGCUGCUUGGCACUGUCACUCACCCAGAGUGACUGCCAGGCCUGCAGGCUCUGUUCAUGGCAGGGUCCUCCCUCAGCAGGUGCACCACUUAAGACCCUUUGUGUUGUAUUUCUGCUGUACCUGUUCUGUGUUUAGAGAUGUUUAGACACAGAUCCUCCCCAGGUCUCCCAGUGGCCUCUAGAUUCAGCAUUGCUGUGCCCAAGAGGAGCGCAGGUGAGCCCCGCCUGCCACCUGGUGUGGACAGGGACAGCUCGCCCUGGGGUUGGUGCAAGGAAGCAGUCACUGAGACCUGGUCGGUCGGUCGGCUGGCUUCUUGGAAUGCAUGUGCUUCUUGGAAUGUAUGCACAUGGCUAAGUGACAGACUGUAUUUGCAUCUUCUGUCUGUUGUUUGUCCCUUAGGGUGACAAAAGCUUUUCUUUCUGGAACAGCCAAACUCUCCAUCUGGCCUGGUAGGCAGAGGAGUCUGCAGAGACUUGUUGUGCACAUGUGCGUGUUGGACCGAGAAGCACAGCUGGCAGAGGAAAACCCCUCAGAGCAGGCCACCCCCGCCACGGUGGCAGUGCCUUUGGGGCUGCCUCUGCAGACCUUGAGCCUGCUCUGACCUGGGCAACUGCUGGGCAGCAGGCCUCUCAGUGUCCCCAGCACCCUGGCCUGUCACACGAGCCGGCUCCCCCUGCUCAGCAGCAGACACCUUCAGACCAGAGUGGGGUCACUAAGGAAGGCGUUAUCUUGUCCCAGUUCCCCUCCUGGGCUGCCUGACCCUGCUCUGGACAGCAUAAAAAGUCAGCUCAAUGACGCAGGCAGACUUUAAAGCCUGUUCCGGAUGGCAGCUGGGCUCUGAGCUGUCAAUCAGAGGUGAGCCAGCACACUCGGGCUGCCUGCCAGGGCUCUGCCCAGAGAGGGCAGGGCACCGAAGCUGUGCAGAGCUCCUGCCCAGCUUUCUCUAUUUAUAAUUUCCUCUGAUAAUGGGGCCAUUCAUUCCGGCUGCAGGCCCCUAAUUGCUCUGCAGUAGAGGGAUGACAGCCUGAUCAUUAACUUCACAGAAUCUGAGCUUGGGCUGUGUCAACAGAGUCCAUCUGCUGUCACCAGGGGCGAUCUUUGCCCUUCAUUGUGGCAAAGGGCAGUUAGAAAAAAAAAAAAAAAAAAAAGAAAACCUUGGCUUGGUUCCAGGUCCAGUAGAUUUUUAUUAUUUUCUGGCCUCAAACUAUCUGCAGAGG